UACGAAGGGGGCUAGCGUUGCUCGGAAUCACUGGGCGUAAAGCGCGCGCAGGUGGUCUUUCAAGUCAGUGGUGAAAGCCCGGAGCUCAACUCCGGAAAUGCCAUUGAAACUGUGAGACUUGAGGACGAGAGAGGUGAGUGGAAUUCCCAGUGUAGAGGUGAAAUUCGUAGAUAUUGGGAAGAACACCGGUGGCGAAGGCGGCUCACUGGCUCGUAUCUGACGCUCAGGCGCGACAGCGUGGGGAUCAAACAGG
This 253-nucleotide ribosomal RNA is filed under the name uncultured bacterium. RNAcentral describes it as "partial 16S ribosomal RNA". It matches the Rfam family "Bacterial small subunit ribosomal RNA", at positions 524 to 776 of the family's 1533-position model. The record is from RNAcentral.